Molecule: transfer RNA, 78 nt
Filed under: Chryseobacterium flavum
Lineage: Bacteria; Pseudomonadati; Bacteroidota; Flavobacteriia; Flavobacteriales; Weeksellaceae
Description: tRNA-Ile
Rfam family: tRNA
About the family: Transfer RNA (tRNA) molecules are approximately 80 nucleotides in length. Their secondary structure includes four short double-helical elements and three loops (D, anti-codon, and T loops). Further hydrogen bonds mediate the characteristic L-shaped molecular structure. tRNAs have two regions of fundamental functional importance: the anti-codon, which is responsible for specific mRNA codon recognition, and the 3' end, to which the tRNAs corresponding amino acid is attached (by aminoacyl-tRNA synthetases). tRNAs cope with the degeneracy of the genetic code in two manners: having more than one tRNA (with a specific anti-codon) for a particular amino acid; and 'wobble' base-pairing, i.e. permitting non-standard base-pairing at the 3rd anti-codon position.
Source: RNAcentral
GAUUUCGUAGCUCAAGUGGUUUAGAGUAUCGGUCUGAUACACCGAAGGUUGAAGGUUCGAGUCCUUCCGGAAUUACAA